This is a non-coding RNA of Triticum aestivum (bread wheat), 149 nucleotides long. Lineage: Eukaryota; Viridiplantae; Streptophyta; Magnoliopsida; Poales; Poaceae. The record is from Rfam.
CAUCUACUCCCUCUGUCCGAAAAACCUUGUCCCUCAAAUGGAUGUAUCUAGCACCUGAAAAAGCUUGUCCCUUAAAUGGAUGUAUCUAGCACCAGGUGCUAGAUACAUCCAUUUGAAGGACAAGCUUUUUCGGACGGAGGGAGUAUGUA